UGGCUCAGAUGGUAAAGAAUCUGCCUGCAAUGCAGAAGACCCAGGUUCUAUCCCUGG
RNAcentral lists this transfer RNA (57 nucleotides) under Bos taurus (domestic cattle). It matches the Rfam family "tRNA", at positions 8 to 63 of the family's 71-position model. Rfam says of the family: Transfer RNA (tRNA) molecules are approximately 80 nucleotides in length. Their secondary structure includes four short double-helical elements and three loops (D, anti-codon, and T loops). RNAcentral also lists the same sequence under 3 other names. Lineage: Eukaryota; Metazoa; Chordata; Mammalia; Artiodactyla; Bovidae. The record is from Rfam by way of RNAcentral.